This 352-nucleotide ribosomal RNA is filed under the name uncultured bacterium. Its description in RNAcentral is "partial 16S ribosomal RNA". It matches the Rfam family "Bacterial small subunit ribosomal RNA", at positions 338 to 687 of the family's 1533-position model. The record is from RNAcentral.
CCUACGGGCGGCAGCAGUGAGGAAUAUUGGUCAAUGGGCGGAAGCCUGAACCAGCCAAGUAGCGUGAGGGAUGAAUGUUCUAUGGAUCGUAAACCUCUUUUAUAAGGGAAUAAAGUGCGGGAUGUGUCCCGUUUUGUAUGUACCUUAUGAAUAAGGAUCGGCUAACUCCGUGCCAGCAGCCGCGGUAAUACGGAGGAUCCGAGCGUUAUCCGGAUUUAUUGGGUUUAAAGGGUGCGUAGGCGGCCUUUUAAGUCAGCGGUGAAAUUCUGUGGCUCAACCAUAGAAUUGCAGUUGAAACUGGCAUGCUUGAGUAUGUUUGAGGCAGGCGGAAUUCGUGGUGUAGCGGUGAAAU